GAGAGAGAGGGAGAGGGGGGAGGAGAUGAGUUUUCUGACCAGUUUCAACUUUUCCUUUCUUCUUUUCUUUCCUUCUCUUUUUUUCUGGGACCGUGAAAUCCAUUGUGCCUCUUAGAGAGCUCAAGUGGGUCGCUUGUUGGUCUUCGUUCUUUCGAAGUCCCCUGCUCUCCCUAACUUCUUGCGCUUCUUCCUCUGCGCUGUCUAUGCCCGCCUCGCGACUUCCCCUUUUUUCCCCACGCUGAGUAGUCUCUUCCCUUCUUUCCCAUGCGCCCAUUUGCCUCGUUCUGGACUUCUUCUCUUGGCGGCUUCGUUUCUUGAUUGUUGACAGAAGGGGCGAAUCUUCACUUGUCUGCGAAGGAGGGGGGGGGGGGGGGUAUGUUAUCUUCCUGUUUAAGCAUCUGGGCUUCUUGAUAUCGGGCAAAUCUUUACUGGGUAUGGGUUGAUAAUGGCUUUUGGAGCACUGGAUUGGUUGGGGUUGGUCUGAGGUCAACUCUGUUCUUUGGGGGGUAGAUUUUUAUGUAUUGAGUGGAUUGCGGUUUGAGUGAUUGGGGGAUUUCAUGCUUGGUCCAAGACAAUGGAGAUGUCUAUGGCCGGACUUCUAUUCCUUUAGUAUUCUUUAUCGUGGAUUGGUGAGGAGACAAUGAAGAACCUUCUCAAGAAGCUCCACAUCAUGUCGAAUCAAACAGAAGAUAGGGAAGAGCUUGGUUCAUCUAUGGGCGGUAAGACCUGCGACGUAGUAUCGUCGCCCGAUAGACUCACGCAAGCGCGAUCGUAUCAUUUAAGCGACCACAAACCCUUUUCAGGGCUUUCUUCUUGGUUACACUCGGUUUCUAGUAAGCACGGACAUGGUGCCCCUUCAUCUUCGAAUGUGAAUAAGGGAGAGCCAAUGGAGCCAUCCGAUUCUGUCAUUGUCAGCGGAGUGAAUAAUGAUCCAGAUGCAGCUUUGCAGGAUUCGGAGUCUAACUCUAGAGAUCCUGAUGUAGAGGAGGAGUAUCAAAUACAAUUGGCGAUGGAGCUGAGUGCGAGGGAGGACCCUGAGGCAGUUCAAAUUGAGGCUGUCAAGCAGAUUAGUUUGGGAUCUUGUGCUCCAGAUAAUACUCCAGCCGAGGUUGUUGCUUAUAGAUACUGGAACUACAAUGCUCUUAGCUAUGAUGACAAAAUCGUGGAUGGUUUUUAUGAUCUAUAUGGGGUCCUGACUGCGUCAACCUCAGGGAGAAUGCCUUCACUUGUUGAUUUGCAAGGAACACCUGUAUCUGAAAAUAUCGCUUGGGAAGCAGUUUUGAUCAACAGAGCUGCAGAUUCAAAUUUAUUAAAACUGGAAGAGAAAGCCCUAGAGAUGGCAGUCAGAUCAAGAUCAGCCUCUCUUGGUUUGUUACAGAGUAAUCUGGUGAGAAACUUAGCUGUUUUAGUUUCGGACUACAUGGGUGGACCAGUUGCAGAUCCAGAGAACAUGUUAAGAGCAUGGCAAAGUCUUGGCUAUAGUUUGAAAUCAACACUAGGUAGUUUGGUUUUGCCUCUUGGUUCCUUAACCAUCGGGAUGGCUCGGCAUCGUGCUUUGUUGUUUAAGGUUUUGGCUGACAGUGUAGGCAUCCGAUGCCGGUUAGUGAAGGGGCAGCAGUAUACAGGUUCAGAUGAUGUAGCAAUUAACUUUGUAAAGCUUGAUGAUGGAAGGGAGUACAUAGUUGACCUCAUGGCUGAUCCAGGCACUCUCAUACCAUCUGAUGCAACGGGGUCACAUGCAGAAUUUGAUGAAUCAUACUUAUCGGUCAGCCCUAUGUCAGGAGAUUCAUCACAUGCUGCCUCUUCUAGUAGCGGAGUUACCAGUUCGUAUGAAGAGCAGUUAGAAUUUGGGACACCUGACAAGAGAUCUAGGUUCAUAACCAGUGCUACUUCAGGAAAUGAGUCCAUUAAUGAAGGUGAAGUACUGGCUGGUGUGAAUCUAACUAGGCCAAUCAUGGUGAAAGAAGGAGGCAAGAAAUGCUCGGAAGACCUGAAAAAUCAAUCCAGUUUAAAUAAGUUGGGGGCCAGAGAGAUCCCGGGAAGGCCUAAUUACCCUUACACGCAUGCAAGAUCUCCUUCAUGGACGGAAGGUGUGAGCUCACCUGCUGUUCGCAGGAUGAAAGUAAAAGAUGUUUCAGAAUACAUGAUUGAUGCUGCCAAAGAGAACCCGCAGUUAGCUCAGAAGCUUCACAAUGUAUUACUUGAAAGCGGUGUCGUUGCUCCACCGAACUUGUUUAGUGAAAUUUAUCCUGGGCAGUUAGAUGCAUCAACUGCUGAGACCAAGUCACCAGCUGGGGACAAGCCUCUGAUAGGAAAUAAGGAUGAAAAGAGCCAUCAGGUUGGAAUUCAAGAUACUAAGGGUCAGGAUGAUAGAAGUGCACCUUGCCUUUUGCCUCCUUUGCCCCCCUAUAAACCGCAUUUAAAAGCAACACUCCCUUGGGGUCCAUCAGAGCAACCUAAACCUGUAGAAGGUUUAGGAUUCAACCCUUUAUUAGAACCGCGGGAAGCAACUGGGCAAUUGAUUUUGUCUCAAUAUGAUGCCACUCCGCCGGUAUAUGUGAAAAAUGUCCCUGUAGCGGCAGCGGCAGCAGCAGCUGCUGCAGUGGUGGCGUCGUCCAUGGUAGUUGCUGCUGCAAAGUCGAAUACGGACUCGAAUCUUGAAAUUCCUGUUGCAGCUGCCGCCACGGCAACAGCUGCAGCCGUGGUGGCAACUACUGCGGCUGUCAAUAAGCAAUAUGAAGCGGGGGUGAAAAGUGAUGGAGAUCCAGAUUCUGGUGGGUCCGAGCCACGAGGGAGUGCUAAUCGGGAGAGUGAUGCUGCGGGAGUAAAUUCAGAAGGUGAGAGGGUUUCUGACAGAUCAACUGGUAAUGAUAGCGCAAAAUCAGAUAUUGCCCUUGAUGAUGUUGCGGAGUGCGAGAUUCAAUGGGAGGAGAUCUCCUUGGGAGAGCGUAUAGGACUAGGAUCCUAUGGGGAGGUAUACCGUGGGGAAUGGCAUGGAACUGAAGUUGCAGUUAAGAGGUUCCUAGACCAGGAUAUUUCUGGUGACUUGCUUGAAGAGUUCAAAAGUGAGGUCCGGAUAAUGAAGAAAGUUAGGCAUCCGAAUGUCGUUCUUUUCAUGGGAGCUGUAACUCGUCCUCCAAAUCUAUCAAUUAUUUCAGAGUUUCUUCAGAGAGGAAGUUUAUAUAGGUUGAUUCACCGGCCUAACAAUCAAUUAGACGAGCGAAGGAGGUUAAGGAUGGCCCUUGAUGCGGCCCGGGGAAUGAAUUAUUUGCAUAACUGUAAUCCAGUUAUAGUACACCGCGACUUGAAGUCCCCCAACCUGCUUGUUGAUAGAAAUUGGGUCGUGAAGGUUUGCGAUUUUGGAUUAUCUCGGAUGAAGCAUAGCACAUACCUCUCAUCUAGGUCCGCUGCUGGAACGGCAGAGUGGAUGGCUCCAGAGGUGCUGAGAAAUGAACCUUCAGAUGAAAAGUGUGAUGUCUUUAGCUUCGGGGUCAUAUUAUGGGAGUUGUCUACGCUUAAACAACCUUGGGGAGGAAUGAAUCCUAUGCAAGUCGUUGGCGCUGUUGGCUUUCAGCACCGUCGGCUCGAGAUUCCGGAUGACAUGGACCCUGCCAUCGCGGAUAUCAUCAAAAACUGCUGGCAAACAGAUCCAAAGUUGAGACCAACGUUUGCCGAGAUCAUGGCUGCGCUGAAGCCCCUGCAGAAGCCCAUAACUAGCGCCGCAAUCCCGAGGCAAGUCCACUGAUGAGCAAUGAGCGUGACAGUGUCCAAUUUGUUAGAUGAGGUGUCUGGUCGAAGUAGCAGAAUCAUGAAUUGAACGAUGUUGGCACAUCCCAUUUCAUUUUGGAGGCAAUUUCUCCAUUAUCGGGAAACUACAUGAAGAUCGAACUUCUGGGGAUGGUCAGUCCGAUGCACGGCGAUUUGGCAAUUGUGAACUGUAAAGUCCGCGAAAUAUCUCGCUACUCUCACGGACCGGAUAAGACGCCCAUCGAAACCCCGGCGGUUGGGCCAACAUGGUUAUUUGCACCUGAUGGUGCACGAGUUCGAGCGCACGGCAGUGCAGAUGCUUGUCGCACGGUGGUGCCGAUGUUAGAGAAUCUUGCAACGAGCGUGUGAGCUGAUCAAUCAUCCAGCGAAAGGAAGAGAGGUGGCCGUUUUCACAUAACAAUGAUGCAAUACAAUUAGGAGGCUAGACUCGGUUUGUUUCAUCAGAUGAGCAGUAAGUUCAAAGAUGGGGCGGGCUUCACAAAUGCGUUCCUUAUUUCAA
Syzygium oleosum is the source of this 4267-nucleotide RNA transcript. It is a transcript of the gene named probable serine/threonine-protein kinase SIS8, with no coding region annotated. NCBI's taxonomy places the organism in Eukaryota, Viridiplantae, Streptophyta, Magnoliopsida, Myrtales, Myrtaceae. The record is from RefSeq and is a predicted model, not a curated record. The transcript is spliced from 15 exons.